GAUGAACGCUGGCGGCGUGCCUAAUACAUGCAAGUCGAGCGAACAGACGAGGAGCUUGCUCCUCUGACGUUAGCGGCGGACGGGUGAGUAACACGUGGAUAACCUACCUAUAAGACAGGGAUAACUUCGGGAAACCGGAGCUAAUACCGGAUAAUAUAUUGAACCGCAUGGUUCAAUAGUGAAAGACGGUUUUGCUGUCACUUAUAGAUGGAUCCGCGCCGCAUUAGCUAGUUGGUAAGGUAACGGCUUACCAAGGCAACGAUGCGUAGCCGACCUGAGAGGGUGGUCGGCCACACUGGAGCGGAGACACGGUCCAGACUCCUGCGGGAGGCAGCAGUAGGGAAUCUUCCGCAAUGGGCGAAAGCCUGACGGAGCAGCGGCGCGUGAGUGGUGAAGGUCUUCGGAUCGUAAUACUCUGUUAUUAGGGAAGAACAAAUGUGUAAGUAACUAUGCACGUCUUGACGGUACCUAAUCAGAAAGCCACGGCUAACUACGUG
RNAcentral lists this ribosomal RNA (497 nucleotides) under uncultured bacterium. RNAcentral's name for it is "partial 16S ribosomal RNA". It matches the Rfam family "Bacterial small subunit ribosomal RNA", at positions 28 to 507 of the family's 1533-position model. The record is from RNAcentral.